This is a long non-coding RNA of Ananas comosus (pineapple), 5067 nucleotides long. RefSeq lists it as uncharacterized. The transcript has 2 exons. The record is from RefSeq and is a predicted model, not a curated record. Lineage: Eukaryota; Viridiplantae; Streptophyta; Magnoliopsida; Poales; Bromeliaceae.
UGCUCCCUUUGGUUUUUGCGUUACGUUUCGUACUUCGAUUCAUUGAAUUGGUUAUAGUUUCAAUUGCUUAUGUUUAAGGAAAAUUUGGAUUAUUUUUUGUUGAAAUCGAGUUUAGUGCCUAAUGAUUUUGGAUCUUUCUAACCUUGCCUAAGCCGACAAUGUGAGUACACUGGGAACUCAUAAAAUCAAGCUGAAUGUGAGAUAAACUAUAGUUUUUAAUACUUUUAUAGUGAUAACUAUAAUUCUCUUCUGUACCAGUCUAGCAUUACACACACAAGUAUGGAUUUGCUCUGGGUGCCGACGGGAUGUAGUAUUGACACUCAAUUUCAUUGUACAAGAAUUGUUCUUUCUCGUCACAAUCCGGCUACUAGAGUCGAUCACAGCACACCGCCCGGAUCCCAAGGGUUUCUGAUGGUGCCCUAGAGUGAACCGAAAAGAGAGAAUUUCGGUGGAGAGAUUAUUCUUAUUUUUUCUUGUGUCUUUUUAUGGCUAAUCCCUCAUGUAUUUAUAGGCCAUAGGAGAGAUGUUAAUUCUAAUCCUAUUCUAACUGAAUCUCACACAGAUAGGGAUUUAAAAUAGAAUAGGAUUUAUCUUUUUGGAUUUAUUCUUGAUCCCAUGUGGACUAGUAAUAUUUUAGAUAAGUCCAAUAUGGAUGAAUUCUACCAUCUCCCACUCGUACACACUUGGUGCUUAUUUCAAUAUUCUAAUUCAAAUAUAUUCUCAUCUCGUUCUACUCUUCAUACGGGAAAUGGUUGGUGCGAUCAAUAACGAGAAGAAUCAAAAGUGAAGAGUGUUAUAUUAAACCACCAUCUAACUAACAUAACACUACAACUCCAAAUCUCGGCUAUACCCCAAAUCACUAAACUACACCAGAUCAUAGCAUCUCUAAUCCCUAUAAUCGAGCAAGCUAGAUCUCUUUUAUCAAAGCAUUUGCAUUCAUGAUUACAUUGACAACAAAUAUCAAUAUAAUCGCCUAGGCUAUGAGUUACAAAUCAUAGGUGUGUUGUCAAAUGAUUUUUCGUCAGACGCCCCUUGCCAAUCUAUUUCAACAUGACUGCUUUCCUAGACAUGUUCCGCUGGACCGAAUCAAUCAUAGCUCUUGGAUAUCAUACUAAAGUAACAUCGCCAAGUAUCCACCUCAUGAUAUGGUUCUAAGUCCCAAAGGGUACGCAAAGUUCACAUAGUGAUGAAAAAGGGAUCAGUUUUGUCACUCUCUAAAACUAGUGAUUGAUCUUGCACAUAUGGUAUGAACGUAUACUAUGGUGGAGCUUCCUCUAAGGACAUGUUACGCUCAAAACACCAUGCGGAUGUCGGUUCUGUUGCAAUUCAAAACAACAAAUCUCAAGACAGUCACCCACAUAGUGCCUUCUUUACAUUCGGCUUCAUAUAGGCCAAGUAGAGUUGUGGACUAUAUCUAUAAUUGAUUCCAUAAAGUCUCAUCUUAGCUCAUCUAAGGCAACAUUCAUGAUUGAAACACGUGCUUGCUCAUUUAGUGCGAAGUGGAUCACCUGCAUUACUAGUUGCAUUUAUGUGAUCUUAUCUGUCUCAUCCUGCUCGCUCUCCUAGCUGCAGAUCGAUCACGCUCUCCUAGCGGCAGAGCGAUCACCCGUGUGAGAAGGUUGAUCAAGGGCUUGGUGACAUUCAUCCUCAUAAAAUAAGGAUAUGGUGCACUAAUUCAAAUUUUUUUAAAAAAUGUAUGAAUAAAGAACGAAAAUAAAUAUAUUUAUUAUCAAAAUGUCAAUACAAGAUAUAUGAGGGUCAAAUCCUGCACAAACCCAAUCCUCCAACAUGUCUAUGAAAAACAUCUCUAAUAAAGGGUUUGGUAAAAGGAUCUACGAUUGUAUCAUUAGUAGUCGUAAAUCUAAUUACAAUCUGACUCUUUGCAAUCUUAAAAUUCUCAAAUUCCUUGAUCAAGUCAUCGUGCAUACAGCUCAACAUCGUAUAGUGUGUGCUUCAAUCUUUGUCAAGCCACUCAUUAUAGGCUUGUAAUUCAUGACGGUGCUGAGUCGUUGUGCCUUCCUCGGGCCGAACCAUGCUGUUGGUAACUAUUGCUAAGGAUUGUGAUGUAGCGAAUGGUUGAUUGACAUGUCGUAGGGGGCAAUCUAAGACACUAGGUUGAGAGCUGAAGUGUAUUACUGUUGGGGAGAAAGAUUCCUUGCCUCAAGUUUGCCUUUUAGAUAUUGCAAACCAAAAUUGAUGGCUAUAAGAUGAGGCUUUCUCCUGUAGUUGAAUGGGUUUAGAUUGACUGUUCAACUUUUGAUACUACAUCUUUUUCUCCUGUAGCUGCUGAACCUGGCGCAUUGCUCCUUUUGAGUAGAGACGAGCAAUACUUCUUCUUCUUACAUUGUAUCCCCUCCUCAAAUAGGGUAAACCCCUGUUUAAUAAAAAAAAAAUGAUAGGAGACCUGCCCAUAUUUUAAGGCAUUCAUAAAAAGGUAGUUAGGAGACAUGCCCAUAUUUUCAUAAUCGACUUCAGGGUUAUAUCGAGAAGGGAUACUGUCUUCGAUCUCUGCAAACAAAAAAAGGUAGUUAGGAGACCUGCCCAUAUUUUAAGGCAUUCAUAAAAAAAAAAAAGAAAAAAAAAAGAAAAAAAAAGGAGGCACCUCGUGGGGAAGCAAUGUUGUGAGGAUCUGCCACGAUAAUCUUUGCAUCAAUCAAAGGAUUACGGUCAUGACCUACGUAAGCAAACAUAGGUGAAUCAGCAAGAUAAAAAUAAAUAAAUAAAAAUAAAAAAAAGAGGACAAAGAAGAAAGGCUCACUACCCUCGUCGAAAGAAGUAAGAACUGGAGGAGGCUCUACUUCGUUGCCAAUCAUGGGAGAAUAAGUAUUCUCGUUAAGAUGGUCUGCAAAAAAAAAAAAAAAAAAAAAAAAAAAAAAAAAGGAGUGAAAAAAAAAGGGAAGGUUGGAUACCUCUAGAGGGUGUUGGUGACGGCAGUUUCUCCUCAGGAAUCCACUUUGUAUGCAUUUGAGAUGCUUAAAAAAGAAAAAAAAAAAGAAAAAGGAGAGGUAUAAAUAAAUAAGAAAAAAAGAGAAAAAAAAAGAAGAAAAGACAAUGCAUAUAAGUGCUUACCUUUUUCUCUUGUAACGCUCGUCGUAGCCAUUGAGGCAUCAACUCAGGGUCUUUUCAGAUCCCUGCGGCUCAAGUCUUCGGGAAGUCCUCUCUUGGCAGCAAUCUGAUCGAUUACUAUAUUGGGUUCGAAUCGAUUAUGCACGAGCAAAAAUGAAUUAGGAACGUCCGAAACCUCUUGCAUCUGCUGGAGAGAAUGAUGAGCCGAUUCUGCCAAGAGAUUUUGCUUAGCUGUAUGAGCAAAUGGACUUAUCUCACGAGCACCACUUUGAGGCUCCCUAGGUGAAGACCUAGAAAUUGUCUUGUAAAUAAUGGGCUUGCAUGCUUUCUUCGGGUUUAGUUCACGCUCUACUAAAGAAUCAAUCCCGGAUGAAAAAUAAGGUUACAACACACUCCUCCACCAAAAAGCAUACAAACGUGUUGGCUUUCCAACGCUAUUGGCAUCUGGAAUAAAGAAUCUAGUAAAAUGGCAAACUCUUGUAAAAUGUGACCAAUACCCCAUCAACACACCGGCUGAAGCAGCAAUUCCAGCUAUGUUAUCAGUAUCCCUAACAUAGUGCUGAUCAAAACCAAAUUGACGAGCAAACCUGUGAGGAUUGUAAGAUUGUGCGUGAAAUAUAUUUCCCAUACGAAGUGGUAUAACACUAUGGCGAAUAGACAUUAGAUACUCUUUGACAUUAUCAGGGAACUCCGUCAUCCUCGACAAAUCGAUUAUUUCAUGAACCCAACCCUCCCUGGAAAGAGCAAAUGGGAAUGGACGCCACACGAAUUUCUCCUGUUGCCAUAAAUUCACCCUAGAUCUUCUUGCAUCAUGCUGCGGCUUUCUCGAAUUAUAAGAAGUAAUCUUAGCAUCCUUAAAUCGCAACAUUUUCGAGACUCAAGUGUGUUUUAACGUUUUUAGGAUUACCUGAUCGAUCUUCUCACGAAUGCAAGUUCCCCGAAAGUGAGAAUGAACCCACGCCGCCAAAAAGUGAAUGGGGAAGCGACAACUGGAGUGCGAUGGCCCUUGUGGGUCAGAAGACAUUUGACACAAUGCAACUUGGAUUGCGCAUAAUAUAGCAGGAGCCAAGGCAAUUUUGGUACCUUUACCUAGUUUGGAUGCCAUAACAAAAACUUCUGGGCGGAUUAUAUUUCUUUCACCCGAAGGCAUAAUGAACUUGCAAAGCCAUAGUGCUAAGAAAGCUGCUAGAUAACCAUCAUCCUUGAUUGGUGGACCAGAGUAACGCUCAUCAUCAGUAAUGUAACGUAACCUGGCUUUAGAAGAAGAUGAAAUAUCACCUUGGUACCAGAAGUUGACCCAUUGAUUGUAGUACACAACGCCUCCUUGAUUCUUGGCAACAAGCCACUCAUAUACCACGAGCAGUGAAGUGAGGUUAGAAUCAUACAUAUCAAGGUCACAAUUCCUUGGGACAAACUCUUCGUACAUAUCCCCAAGAAUAGGAAUACCACCUAAUAUCUUAAUGUCCCAAAGAGAAAUACCAAUCUCACCAUAUGGAAAAUGAAAAGUAUUUGUUUCAAGACACCAAGCCUCUAUCAAACCCUUGAAUAUGCGUGAAUCUAAUUCAUACCUGCCCCUGAAGGCGAUGAUUCCUCCUAAAAUACCAGACAAAUGUAACGGACCUUCAAAUCGCCGAAUGACGUCAUCUCUCCAUUCUACAAGGCCGUCCAAAGCUGUCCGGUCUCCCAACGUCUUAAAGCCUCGCCAACUUGGUCGUCCUUGUAGGAUGCGAAGGCCCAAGCAAUGUAUAUCUUCUGCCCCACUUUUAUCUCCCACGGGCUCUGGUAAUAUAGCAUUGUCCGAUCUAGCAUCUGUGAAAUAUCGUUGAGUAAAACUUGCCAUCGCAAAAGGACGUACAACUGCCCACCGGUUCAGCGGGAUCCCUUCAUAGAAAAUUUUAGGGCUACUGUCGGCAAGAGAACGUGCGCGGAAUAUAGUAGCUUGGGCAUAUGCAUAAAAUUCAUAAGUGCCUGUCAUAUGUCUAAUAAAAAAAAAAAAAAAAA